GAUGAGGUGGCCGAGAGGUUAAGGCGAGGGACUGCUAAUCUUAUUGGGCUCUGCCCGCGUGGGUUCGAAUCCCAUCCUCGUCG
This 83-nucleotide transfer RNA is filed under the name Rhipicephalus microplus (southern cattle tick). RNAcentral's name for it is "tRNA-Ser". It matches the Rfam family "tRNA". From Rfam's summary of the family: Transfer RNA (tRNA) molecules are approximately 80 nucleotides in length. Their secondary structure includes four short double-helical elements and three loops (D, anti-codon, and T loops). Lineage: Eukaryota; Metazoa; Arthropoda; Arachnida; Ixodida; Ixodidae. The record is from Rfam by way of RNAcentral.